UCUUGGCCUCUCUGUGCUAUGAUCCAUGGGGGACCUGAUCAUCCAUAGAGCUAAUUUCUGAAACUAAAAAUUAUCCUUUCUUAUGUUUCUGUGUUGUCAAAUAAAAGCUAAUAUACAUGUGAUGUCCAGUUUCUUCUUUCGGUUCAGUUCAUUAUCUAAAAUCCUUUCAAUUUAAUUCUUAUGCGUCGUCCCGGCAACGCAUUGCGUAGCCACCGACCUCCUCUGGUUGGGCCACACCACCACGGGCUGGUCCACAAUGGUUGCUGGCAGCCGUCCAAGUUGAGAGCUGAUGGUAGUCCUCUACAUGCGUCAACGAAAAAUAGAGCCUUUUCUCUUCUCAAUACACAGCACAGAAGGUAUUUGUCUCCAACUUGCAUUAAGAGUUCAAAGUACACAGAGGAAAAAGGUUCAAUUUUCAAAACUUUAAGAGUUCAAAGUACACAAGAACAUAAGUCCACUAUGCUUUGUGUCAGCUAUCUGAUAUUUGUGAGGGGAACUUCAAUUUUCUUUAGUUCAACUUUUGAAUGUGUUCCAGUUCGUCUACUUCCUAGUCGUCCUGUGUCAAUCAAAAAAAGCAGUAGUUUAGCACGAAAAAUAGAGAUUUUUCUCUUCUCAGUACACAUCACAAAAGGUAUUUGUCUCCAACUUGCAUUAAGAGUUCAAAGUACACAGAGGAAAAAGGUUCAAUUUUCAAAACCUUAAGAGUUCAAAGUACACAAGAACAUAAGUCCACUAUGCUUUGCGUCAGAUAUCUGAUAUUUGUGAGGGGAACUUCAAUUUUCUUCAGUUCAACUUUUGAAUGUGUUUCAGUUCGUCUACUUCCUAGUCGUCCUGUGUUAGCUAGAUCAGUACUAGUGCUCAGCAGUACGACAAGUAGCAGUACUGAUCAGUACGACCUACACAAAUACUAUUACUGAUCAGUAAUAUUCUUAAUGUUAAAAGUAACAUCCAUAUAGAAAAAAUGCUUCUAUUCUAACACACAAUGUUUUGCAAAAAAGAGCACUAGUACUGAUGAGUCGUACCGACAAGGAUGCCUUCUACAAUUCUGAAAUUAUUGUUGAGUCGUACUAGUACUAUUACUGUUGAAAAUGGGAAGCAAGUGUCACAUGAAUCCUCAAUUGAAUGGGAAGCAAGUUGAUCCUCGCUCCUUCAACUCCACUUCGCCAGUGCCCGUCAGUCUGCAGGAGUAGGGGCGGCGUGUCCGUCAACAAACAAGAACAGAAGGGAGCAAUUGGCGCCGAAUGGGCCCCUGGGAGCUAGUCCAACCCGCUCGCAGACUGGAGGGCAUGCCGGUUUAUUUCCAAUGAAGCCCUAUGUACAAUCAGUCUGUUCGUUUGAUAAGAAAGGAGACAACAUAGAAGUUAUGGUUGAAGCAAGUCCCUCCGUCCAGUUAUGUCCGAUUUUUGUGAUAGUAGUUCAAAAUGAGGGAUAUAUUGUAUAAACUUUUUUGGACUUGUGCCCAGGCUGCUUCUGAACAACUCCAAUGCUUUAUUGGCCUCAGUACUACAGUUUGUUAACUUUUAACUGAGAACUCUAUGAACUCUUGGACAUGUUCA
Long non-coding RNA from Triticum aestivum (bread wheat), 1556 nucleotides. RefSeq lists it as uncharacterized. The transcript is spliced from 2 exons. The record is from RefSeq and is a predicted model, not a curated record. NCBI's taxonomy places the organism in Eukaryota, Viridiplantae, Streptophyta, Magnoliopsida, Poales, Poaceae.